UGAAGAGUUUGAUCAUGGCUCAGAUUGAACGCUGGCGGCAGGCCUAACACAUGCAAGUCGCGAACAGGAAACAGCUUGCUGUUUUGCUGACGAGUGGCGGACGGGUGAGUAAUGUCUGGGGAUCUGCCCGAUGGGGGGAUAACCACUGGAAACGGUGGCUAAUACCGCAUGACCUCUUGGGAGUAAAGUGGGGGACCUUCGGGCCUCACGCCAUCGGAUGAACCCAGAUGGGAUUAGCUAGUGCGGGGUAAUGGCCCACCUAGGCGACGAUCCCUAGCUGGUCUGAGAGGAUGACCAGCCACACUGGGACUGAGACACGGCCCAGACUCCUACGGGAGGCAGCAGUGGGGAAUAUUGCACAAUGGGCGCAAGUGAUGCACAUCGGGGUAAUGGGCCGCGUGUAUGAAGAAGGCCCGGGUUGUAAAGUACUUUCAGCGGGGAGGAAGGCGUAAGUCUGAAGGGCUUACGAUUGACGUUACCCGCAGAAGAAGCACCGGCUAACUCCGUGCCAGCAGCCGCGGUAAUACGGAGGGUGCAAGUUAAGGAAUUACUGGGCGUAAAGCGCACGCAGGUCUGAAGGGCUUACGAUUGACGUUACCGCGGUCAAUUAAGUUGGAUGUGAAAUCCCCGGGCUUAACCCGAACGGCAUCCAAGACUGGUUGGCUAGAGUCUCGUAGAGGGGGGUAGAAUUCCACGUGUAGCGGUGAAAUGCGUAGAGAUGUGGAGGAAUACCGGUGGCGAAGGCGGCCCCCUGGACGAAGACUGACGCUCAGGUGCGAAAGCGUGGGGAGCAAACAGGAUUAGAUACCCUGGUAGUCCACGCUGUAAACGAUGUCGAUUUGGAGGCUGUGCCCUUGAGGCGUGGCUUCCGGAGCUAACGCGUUAAAUCGACCGCCUGGGGAGUACGGCCGCAAGGUUAAAACUCAAAUGAAUUGACGGGGGCCCGCACAAGCGGUGGAGCAUGGUUUAAUUCGAUGCAACGCGAAGAACCUUACCUACUCUUGACAUCCACGGAAUCAGGCAGAGAUGCCGGAGUGCCUUCGGGAACCGUGAGACAGGUGCUGCAUGGCUGUCGUCAGCUCGUGUUGUGAAAUGUUGGGUUAAGUCCCGCAACGAGCGCAACCCUUAUCCUUUGUUGCCAGCACUUCGGGUGGGAACUCAAGGGAGACUGCCGGUGAUAAACCGGAGGAAGGUGGGGAUGACGAAGUCAUCAUGGCCCUUACGAGUAGGGCUACACACGUGCUACAAUGGCAGAUACAAAGAGAAGCGACCUCGCGAGAGCAAGCGGAACUCAUAAAGUCUGUCGUAGUCCGGAUUGGAGUCUGCAACUCGACUCCAUGAAGUCGGAAUCGCUAGUAAUCGUAGAUCAGAAUGCUACGGUGAAUACGUUCCCGGGCCUUGUACACACCGCCCGUCACACCAUGGGAGUGGGUUGCAAAAGAAGUAGGUAG
This 1451-nucleotide ribosomal RNA is filed under the name Xenorhabdus nematophila. Its description in RNAcentral is "bacterial SSU rRNA". It matches the Rfam family "Bacterial small subunit ribosomal RNA". The record is from RNAcentral. Lineage: Bacteria; Pseudomonadati; Pseudomonadota; Gammaproteobacteria; Enterobacterales; Morganellaceae.